Molecule: transfer RNA, 68 nt
Filed under: Seriana sp. 'barna'
Lineage: Eukaryota; Metazoa; Arthropoda; Insecta; Hemiptera; Cicadellidae
Description: tRNA-Ser
Source: RNAcentral
AAGAAGUUUAUGACAUGGGGAUAGCUGCUAACUAAUCCUCAAAGCGGUUAAAUUCCGUUUGCUUCUUU